GCCGGGGUGGCGGAAUUGGCAGACGCAGAGGACUUAAAAUCCUCCGGAGCAAUCCUUGUGGGUUCGAGUCCCACCCUCGGCACCA
RNAcentral lists this transfer RNA (85 nucleotides) under Dehalococcoidales bacterium. RNAcentral's name for it is "tRNA-Leu". It matches the Rfam family "tRNA". Rfam says of the family: Transfer RNA (tRNA) molecules are approximately 80 nucleotides in length. Lineage: Bacteria; Bacillati; Chloroflexota; Dehalococcoidia; Dehalococcoidales. The record is from RNAcentral.